This 460-nucleotide ribosomal RNA is filed under the name uncultured bacterium. Its description in RNAcentral is "partial 16S ribosomal RNA". It matches the Rfam family "Bacterial small subunit ribosomal RNA", at positions 338 to 795 of the family's 1533-position model. The record is from RNAcentral.
CCUACGGGUGGCUGCAGUGAGGAAUAUUGGUCAAUGGACGCGAGUCUGAACCAGCCAAGUCGCGUGCAGGAUGACUGCCUUAUGGGUUGUAACCUUCUUUUAUCUGGGGCUAAACUGUUCCAUGUGUGGGAUUUUGUGUGUACUUUAUGAAUAAGGCUCGGCUAAAUCCGUGCCAGCCGCCGCGGUAAUACGGAGGAUCCGAGCGUUCUCCGGAUUUAUUGGGUGUAAAGGGCGCGUAGGAGGAUUGUUAAGUCGGUUGUGAAAGUUUGCGGCUCAACGGUAACAUUGCAGUUGAAACGGGCAGUCUUGAGUACAGUAGAGGAGAGCGGAAUUCGUGGUGUAACGGUGAAAUGCGUAGAUAUCACGAAGAACUCCGAUGGCGAAGGCAGCUCUCUGGACUGCAACUGACGCUGAGGCGCGAAAGUGUGGGUAUCGAACAGGAUUAGAUACCCCAGUAGUC